This 515-nucleotide ribosomal RNA is filed under the name uncultured bacterium. RNAcentral describes it as "partial 16S ribosomal RNA". It matches the Rfam family "Bacterial small subunit ribosomal RNA", at positions 28 to 523 of the family's 1533-position model. The record is from RNAcentral.
GAUGAACGCUGGCGGCGUGCCUAAUACAUGCAAGUCGAGCGAAUGGAUUAAGAGCUUGCUCUUAUGAAGUUAGCGGCGGACGGGUGAGUAACACGUGGGUAACCUGCCCAUAAGACUGGGAUAACUCCGGGAAACCGGGGCUAAUACCGGAUAACAUUUUGAACCGCAUGGUUCGAAAUUGAAAGGCGGCUUCGGCUGUCACUUAUGGAUGGACCCGCGUCGCAUUAGCUAGUUGGUGAGGUAACGGCUCACCAAGGCAACGAUGCGUAGCCGACCUGGGAGGGUGAUGGGCCACACUGGGACUGAGCCACGGCCCAGACUCCUACGGGUGGCAGCAGUAGGGAAUCUUCCGCAAUGGACGAAAGUCUGACGGAGCAACGCCGCGUGAGUGAUGAAGGCUUUCGGGUCGUAAAACUCUGUUGUUAGGGAAGAACAAGUGCUAGUUGAAUAAGCUGGCACCUUGACGGUACCUAACCAGAAAGCCACGGCUAACUACGUGCCAGCAGCCGCCGUAA